GAGUUUGAUCGUGGCUCAGGAUGAACGCCGGCGGUGUGCCUAAUACAUGCAAGUCGUACGCACUGGCCCAACUGAUUGAUGGUGCUUGCACCUGAUUGACGAUGGAUCACCAGUGAGUGGCGGACGGGUGAGUAACACGUAGGUAACCUGCCCCGGAGCGGGGGAUAACAUUUGGAAACAGAUGCUAAUACCGCAUAACAACAAAGGCCACAUGGCUUUUGUUUGAAAGAUGGCUUUGGCCAUCACUCUGGGAUGGACCUGCGGUGCAUUAGCUAGUUGGUAAGGUAACGGCUUACCAAGGCGAUGAUGCAUAGCCGAGUUGAGAGACCGAUCGGCCACAAUGGAACUGAGACACGGUCCAUACUCCUACGGGAGGCAGCAGU
Molecule: ribosomal RNA, 383 nt
Filed under: uncultured microorganism
Description: bacterial SSU rRNA
Rfam family: Bacterial small subunit ribosomal RNA
Source: RNAcentral